This 73-nucleotide transfer RNA is filed under the name Phycicoccus sp. Its description in RNAcentral is "tRNA-Arg". It matches the Rfam family "tRNA". From Rfam's summary of the family: Transfer RNA (tRNA) molecules are approximately 80 nucleotides in length. Their secondary structure includes four short double-helical elements and three loops (D, anti-codon, and T loops). Further hydrogen bonds mediate the characteristic L-shaped molecular structure. tRNAs have two regions of fundamental functional importance: the anti-codon, which is responsible for specific mRNA codon recognition, and the 3' end, to which the tRNAs corresponding amino acid is attached (by aminoacyl-tRNA synthetases). tRNAs cope with the degeneracy of the genetic code in two manners: having more than one tRNA (with a specific anti-codon) for a particular amino acid; and 'wobble' base-pairing, i.e. permitting non-standard base-pairing at the 3rd anti-codon position. The record is from RNAcentral. Lineage: Bacteria; Bacillati; Actinomycetota; Actinomycetes; Micrococcales; Intrasporangiaceae. RNAcentral also lists the same sequence under 3 other names.
GCGCCCGUAGCUCAACGGAUAGAGCAUCUGAUUACGGAUCAGAAGGUUGGGGGUUCGAAUCCCUCCGGGCGCG